UGGCGCGCCUGGAGAGAUUUGAACUCCCGGCACUCGGAACCGGAAUCCGAUGCUCUAUCCGGACUGAGCUACAGGCGC
RNAcentral lists this transfer RNA (78 nucleotides) under Leptospirillum ferrooxidans C2-3. RNAcentral describes it as "tRNA-Arg". Lineage: Bacteria; Pseudomonadati; Nitrospirota; Nitrospiria; Nitrospirales; Nitrospiraceae. The record is from RNAcentral.